RNAcentral lists this ribosomal RNA (497 nucleotides) under uncultured bacterium. RNAcentral's name for it is "partial 16S ribosomal RNA". It matches the Rfam family "Bacterial small subunit ribosomal RNA", at positions 28 to 507 of the family's 1533-position model. The record is from RNAcentral.
GACGAACGCUGGCGGCGUGCCUAAUACAUUCAAGUCGAGCGGACCACACCGGAGCUUGCUCUUGUUUGGUUAGCUGCGGACGGGUUAGUAACACGUGGUUAACCUGCCCUUUAUACCGGGAUAACUCCGGUAAACCGUCGCUAAUACCCGCUAACACCGACCACCGCCUGGUCUUUGGUUGAAAUGCGGCUUCGUCUUCCACUUACGGAUGGGCCCGCGGCGCAUUAGCUAGUUGGUGAGGUAACGGCUCACCAAGGCGACGAUGCGUAGCCGGCCUGAGAGGGUCCGGCCACACUGGGACUGAGACACGGCCCAGAAUCCUACGGGAGGCAGCAGUACGGAAUGUUCCGCAAUAGACGAAAGGCUGACGGAGGGACGAGGCGGGAGGGAAGAAGAAAGUGGGAUCGUAAAGAACGGAAGUUAGGGAAGAAGAAGCGAAGGACGAAGAGGGCGGCAGAGUGACGGUACAAAAAGAGAAAGACCCGGAUAACUACAGG